RNAcentral lists this long non-coding RNA (536 nucleotides) under Phasianus colchicus (ring-necked pheasant). Its description in RNAcentral is "lncRNA (ENSPCLG00000017772.1)". The record is from RNAcentral. Lineage: Eukaryota; Metazoa; Chordata; Aves; Galliformes; Phasianidae.
UUGGAUCAAUUUGUGGCCGUUUUGGAGCCAUUUGGGGCCAUUUUGGGGCCAUUUUGAGCCAUUUCAGGACAAUUUGGGGCCGUUUUGGGGGCAUUUGUUGCCAUAUGGGGCCAUUUGUUGCCAUUUUUGGGACCAUUUCAUGUCAUUUGUGGCCAUUUGGGGACCGUUUGGGCCAUUUGGUGCCAUAUUGAGCCAUUUUGGGUCUAUUUGGGGCGAUUUGGGGCUGUUUUGGGACCAUUUGUUGCCAUUUUGGGGUGGUUUGGGGCUGUUUUGGGGCCAUUUGUUGCUGUUUUGGGGGCAUUUGAGGCCAUUUGUUGCGAUAUAGGGCCGUUUGGGGUCCAUUAGGGUAAUUUGGGGCCGUUUGGGGUCCAUUUGUUGCAAUUUUGGGCCGUUUGGGGGCCGUUUUGGGUCCAUUUGUUGCGAUUUGGGGCCGUUUUGGGGCCAUUUGUUGCAACUUGGGGCCAUUUGGGGUCCAUUUGUGGCGAUUUGGGGCCGUUUUGGGUCCAUUUCUUGUGAUUUGGGGCCGUUUGGGGGCC